UCUGCUCCAUGGAUAUCCAAUGGAUACCCGUAUGACAUGUGGGGCCAUAUGGCAGUGACACUGGACUAAGCACACGUCCAACCUCUCAGUCGCUCGCGGUCACAGAAGUCAAAGCCCGGCCCAUGUUCCCUAAUCCCCCGCAACCCCACAAACCUAGUAAUUAUUAAACCAAAUCUAAUCUGUGUGUCAACCCCCAAUCACCCCGAGUCCACCUUCCUCCCCAGCGCCCCAGCGCUCUCCCUCUGCGCAGCACAAAUCACAACCGCCGCCCCCGCCUCUCCCUGUCCGUCCACCCCAGCGCGACCGGCCUCGGCGACCGGCGUCUGUGAACAACAACAUCUUGAGUCCAGCACUCCUGCUCCCUCCCCAGCGCGACCGGCCUCGGCGAGACGGCGACCAGCAUCGGCAAGAAGGCGACAGGCCUCGGCGACCAACACAUCGGCGACCCACAGAUGGCAACAUACCCAAGGAGUAAAUCUUCAAUGGAAGGGGGCAAGGUCAACCAUGGGAAGGGCAGGGGCGGGAGUGUUAGUGUCCCACGGAGGAGUUUGCGUGGUCGGCAUCCAGCACCAGAGUUGCCGUGCACCGGUGAGCAACAGGGUUUCGACGACAACACCAUUAGCACCGAAAAGGGUAAUUGCUACACCAUUAGCACUGAAAAGGGUUUCGACCCGCAGACGGCAGAAAAUAACGAUGAGUCCCAUCAUAGCCCACUGGCGAUGCUGAGUGUAGACUCGCGACCCUAACGGUACCUUACUCUUCGUCUGAAUAUCUUGCAACAUGAGACGUUGCAGCCAUAUAGGUCAAUACUUUGAAUGUUGGCAAGUUACACAGGAGUAAUAAUAAAGCAGACCUACAUGUAUAUGCAUAGUACAACAAAAGGAAGGCUUGAGGGUUUAAUUUGCAGAAAGCUGAUUUUGUCCUCAUAA
Long non-coding RNA from Aegilops tauschii subsp. strangulata, 929 nucleotides. RefSeq lists it as uncharacterized. The record is from RefSeq and is a predicted model, not a curated record. Lineage: Eukaryota; Viridiplantae; Streptophyta; Magnoliopsida; Poales; Poaceae.